UACGGAGGAUCCAAGCGUUAUCCGGAAUCAUUGGGUUUAAAGGGUCCGUAGGCGGUUUUGUAAGUCAGUGGUGAAAGCCCAUCGCUCAACGGUGGAACGGCCAUUGAUACUGCAAGACUUGAAUUACUAGGAAGUAACUAGAAUAUGUAGUGUAGCGGUGAAAUGCUUAGAGAUUACAUGGAAUACCAAUUGCGAAGGCAGGUUACUACUAAUGGAUUGACGCUGAUGGACGAAAGCGUGGGUAGCGAACAGG
Molecule: ribosomal RNA, 253 nt
Filed under: uncultured bacterium
Lineage: Bacteria
Description: partial 16S ribosomal RNA
Rfam family: Bacterial small subunit ribosomal RNA
Source: RNAcentral